This 552-nucleotide long non-coding RNA is filed under the name Equus caballus (horse). RNAcentral describes it as "lncRNA (ENSECAG00000054425.1)". The record is from RNAcentral. Lineage: Eukaryota; Metazoa; Chordata; Mammalia; Perissodactyla; Equidae.
GUUCAGUGGAAGCUGCAGUAGUGGAAGCAGUGGAGGCAGCCCAAGUGGUACUGCUGGUACUUAGUGUGGUAGGCAGUUCUGUUGUAGUGGUGGCUGCUGUGGUGGUAGCCUCAGUGGUACUACUGGUAGUUGGUGUGGUAGUCUGUUCAGUUGAAGUACUGGCUAUGGCUGUGGUAACCUCAGUGGUAGUGCCAGAAGUUGGUGUGGUAGGCAGUUCUGUUGUAGUGGUGGCUGCUGUGGUGGUAUCCUCAGUGGUAGUACUGGUAGUUUGUGUGGUAGUCUGUUCAGUUGAAGUACUGGCUAUUGUUGUGGUAGCCUCAGUGGUAGUGCCAGAAGUUGGUGUGGUAGUCUGUUCCAUUGAAGUGGUGGCUGUUGUGGUUGUAGCCUCAGUGGUAGUGCUGGCAGUUGGUGUAGUAGUUUGUUCAGUUGAAGUGGUGACUGUUGUGGUUGUAGCCUCAGUGGUAGUGCUGGCAGUAGGUGUGGUACUCUGUUCCAUGGAAGUGGUGGCUGUUGUGGUUGUAGCCUCAGUGGUAGUGCUGGAAGUUGGUGUAG